UUUGAAGUUUGAAAUUCUCCUAUCUUCUCCAAAUAUUCUCCUAGUUCUUCUCUUUUAGGGUUUAACCCUAUCAAAGUGUUGAUUACCGUGGAGGGUGGACAUAAAGAAUGAAAGACUGGAAAUUGCACCAGCAAGGGAAUCUUGGGGCUGAAAUUAAUGACUCAAUGGAUCAUGAUAUGGCAAUAUAAAGUUCAUAUCUGUAAUUAAUAUCAAAUUGAUAAUAUUUAAACAUCCCAGUUUGAACCGAACCUGUUUUGACCCAUUUGCAGGCUUGUUUUUUAAUACAAUUAUGGUCAUCACACUUAUCAUAAGAGUUUGCGACUACAUGGCUUGUUAGUUCUCCUGCAUUGUUUUUGGGCUUUGACGGGUGGUUCGUGGUUGGUACUGCACAUUCAGCCAAUGUGCUCCCCUAUUUGAGACGGAAGAGGUUUCCUUUCACAACAAAUUUUUACAUGCUAAAGGCUAGAGCACUGGUUGUUCCCGUUGGAUAUUACAUGCAUAUGCAGGCUAGGCACGAAAUUGAAACAGUGAUACCAAGAAUUCCUCAAAAGAUAGUGUUGUCAUAACUCACAACGGUUUGCUUUCACCGCCAAGUACUCCUUCUGCUGAACCUGAUUAUGAGAAUAAGAUUCUUUCAGAUGCAUUGCCUGAAAUUGUUCCUUAUGUCUUGAUUGAUCAUCGAGAGGAGCUUCUUCCUCUGAUGAUGUGUGCAAUUGAGCGUCACCCGAGUAGCAACACAAGGGAUUCCUUGACUCACACAUUGUUUAACUUGAUUAAGCGUCCAGAUGUUUUGGAAUCAAAUGGUGUAUGAAACCUGUUGUUGUAAACGAAUGGCGGUGACGAAGAAAGAAACAACAAGACAACAACAUCAGUAGAGUGACCGAGUGACUGAUCGAGUCAUUCUUGCUGAUACUGAUGUACUGUAUAUUGUUCAUGCAGCUGUAGCCUAACAAUACCCAUUUGAUAUUCCUACAGAGGCCUUUUAAUUUGAGAUAUUUAUACAAGCUUUUGUAGCAGUUCAACAAGUCCAAUCUGUUAACUAGCCAGCUUCAACUGCCACAACUAAACAAACGGACCCUCAGGAUGGGCAUUGGCGCUUGAAACUGCUCCAAGCUCUAAUGGGAGUGUCACAUCUACAAGCAAAUUGGUAAGUUCCAUGAGUUUUCUAGCCAUCCUCAUUUUCCUCAUUUUGAUGGCUACAAAGAUACCCUGAUGGUCACCAAGCUGAAGAACAUCAAGCAAAUUCUCAACUCAUGUGUUUUCUAAAUUCUCCAUGUGUGUAAAUUUGUUUUUUUAUUUUUGGAAUACAUAAUUGU
RNAcentral lists this long non-coding RNA (1316 nucleotides) under Helianthus annuus (common sunflower). RNAcentral describes it as "hypothetical non coding rna". Lineage: Eukaryota; Viridiplantae; Streptophyta; Magnoliopsida; Asterales; Asteraceae. The record is from RNAcentral.